Molecule: non-coding RNA, 23 nt
Filed under: Arabidopsis thaliana (thale cress)
Lineage: Eukaryota; Viridiplantae; Streptophyta; Magnoliopsida; Brassicales; Brassicaceae
Source: RNAcentral
AAUUGAGCCAAAAACCAAAUGCA